Molecule: ribosomal RNA, 452 nt
Filed under: uncultured bacterium
Lineage: Bacteria
Description: SSU rRNA
Rfam family: Bacterial small subunit ribosomal RNA
Source: RNAcentral
AGAACGAACGCUGGCGGCAUGCCUAACACAUGCAAGUCGAACGCUCUUGGUUUCGGCCAAGGGAGUGGCGCACGGGUGAGUAACGCGUGGGAACCUGCCCUGGAGUGGGGGAUAACCGAGGGAAACCUCGGCUAAUACCGCAUACGUCCUGAGGGAGAAAGAUUUAUCGCUCUAGGAGGGGCCCGCGUCGGAUUAGCUAGUUGGUGGGGUAACGGCCCACCAAGGCUAUGAUCCGUAGCUGGUCUGAGAGGAUGAUCAGCCACACUGGGACUGAGACACGGCCCAGACUCCUACGGGAGGCAGCAGUGGGGAAUAUUGGACAAUGGGCGCAAGCCUGAUCCAGCAAUGCCGCGUGAGUGAUGAAGGCCUUAGGGUUGUAAAGCUCUUUUGUGCGGGAAGAUAAUGACGGUACCGCAAGAAUAAGCCCCGGCUAACUUCGCGCCAGCAGCCGC